UAGUAGAAAAUGCAAACUAAACGAAACGAAUACAGUACCUAAGCUACUUUUCAUGGAUGGAUGGAUAAAAACAUCAUCGUAUGCUUAUUAUCAACCCCUUCUCUUAUGCAGGAACCAGGUUGCUAACACACGCACGAAGAGCAACUGCCUUUCGAACUGCGCUCUGUGUGCUGCACUUGCAUUGGUGUGCAAGUGGAGGAGUGCUCGAGUUAAUGCCCUGCGGCACUAUAAUAGCUGUCGAAAUAUUCUGCUUAAGACAUCUAUGACCGUUGUGACAUCCUACCAGCUCAAACAUCACCCUAAAAGCAGUUUGACUGCAUGUAUUUGACUUCACAGACACGUUGUGCUCUUGGUCAGUGGCCGGUCGUCUUCGCUAUGAACAAGAAGAGGAAGACGUGGGAAUGAAACAAGGAUGGAACAACGUGGACAGAGGGGGCUCUGCACAGAAGUAUAUUCAUCGCAGGAUGCAGCGACCUCCUAAAAAAGAAUUCUGCUGCCGAAAUCGACGAACUGUUGGACGUCCCGUUGCCACAGGAUCAAGUCAGUGCCCUGGUUGACAAUAACGUGCCAACUGGCAGUGAUGACGAAUGCCAUGAGCGCGAAGGAGACAACAACGAUGAAGCAGAGAUGGAGCGACAUCGUCGAUAGCAGUGAGACGGACGAUAAUGACACGGAGACUGAGAGCGAUGCAGAGGAACAAUGCGUGAAAAAACAGCGUCAAGUACAAAGUGACACGCGGAAGGUAUGGCGCUAGGACAAAAGGGAUAUAGCUCCAUCUCCUAAGCUCCUUAAUGAGCUCAAGCCUAAAGCUACAGCUACAAUUGGGAAAAUUCCCCUGAAAAUGUUCAGAAUCAUGUUUGGUGAAGUCCUUAUCGAGCUUUUGACAUUUGAAUGAAACCGGUAAAAAAUUUGUGGUCGCCUCAGAAUGAAAGCUAUAUCUCAAAAUGAGAGGGAGUGUUCUUGGGCAUAUGUAUGCAAUUUGAUUGUUUACAUAUCAUUUGGGGGCCUCUACUGUUCGGCGAACACAAGGCAAGAUAUGGUAGCGGAUGCCAUGACCGUCAGUUGUUGGGACGAAAUACUGUC
Dermacentor andersoni is the source of this 1083-nucleotide long non-coding RNA. RefSeq lists it as uncharacterized. The record is from RefSeq and is a predicted model, not a curated record. Lineage: Eukaryota; Metazoa; Arthropoda; Arachnida; Ixodida; Ixodidae.